Cydia amplana is the source of this 515-nucleotide long non-coding RNA. RefSeq lists it as uncharacterized. Lineage: Eukaryota; Metazoa; Arthropoda; Insecta; Lepidoptera; Tortricidae. The record is from RefSeq and is a predicted model, not a curated record. The transcript is spliced from 2 exons.
UGCCAUUGAAGUAUUUGUUGACACCUGUCAAUGUUCCUUUCGCUUGGGAAUGACACAAAUAGGAAAUGUAUAUAAUAAACUGUCAAUUGUUGUAAAUAUUAAAUAUUUUUAAACUAAUAGUUCUGGGACAUUUACUUAUCGUGACAUUGAAUGAUUAUGUUUGUCUGUUUGUAACACUGUUGCCUAUAUUACUAAGACUCCAUAUUAUGUUGUCGUAUUGAUUGUAUUGUUGUAUUUUAUUAAUGGACUGAUUUAUAGAUUAGACGAAACUGUACAGAAGUGUAUAGUUAGUUUGCAAUAUUCUACUUUGUUUAGUACAAAAUGGUGUAUGUUUUGGGGUUCUUUAACAGUUUAUAUUUGAUUUUUUUGUGAUAUAGCCAAUAAUAGCCAUAAAUAACUGGUGGUUUAUGUAUGUGCCAUAAGAGGUUGGCGUCAGACACCUAAAAUAUUAUAACAUUAUCAAGAAUCAAUAAGUAAUGGUGCAAUACAUUCCCCAAAAAAUGUUUAGCAACCAA